RNAcentral lists this ribosomal RNA (2903 nucleotides) under Escherichia coli. Its description in RNAcentral is "bacterial LSU rRNA". It matches the Rfam family "Bacterial large subunit ribosomal RNA". Lineage: Bacteria; Pseudomonadati; Pseudomonadota; Gammaproteobacteria; Enterobacterales; Enterobacteriaceae. The record is from RNAcentral.
UUAAGCGACUAAGCGUACACGGUGGAUGCCCUGGCAGUCAGAGGCGAUGAAGGACGUGCUAAUCUGCGAUAAGCGUCGGUAAGGUGAUAUGAACCGUUAUAACCGGCGAUUUCCGAAUGGGGAAACCCAGUGUGUUUCGACACACUAUCAUUAACUGAAUCCAUAGGUUAAUGAGGCGAACCGGGGGAACUGAAACAUCUAAGUACCCCGAGGAAAAGAAAUCAACCGAGAUUCCCCCAGUAGCGGCGAGCGAACGGGGAGCAGCCCAGAGCCUGAAUCAGUGUGUGUGUUAGUGGAAGCGUCUGGAAAGGCGCGCGAUACAGGGUGACAGCCCCGUACACAAAAAUGCACAUACUGUGAGCUCGAUGAGUAGGGCGGGACACGUGGUAUCCUGUCUGAAUAUGGGGGGACCAUCCUCCAAGGCUAAAUACUCCUGACUGACCGAUAGUGAACCAGUACCGUGAGGGAAAGGCGAAAAGAACCCCGGCGAGGGGAGUGAAAAAGAACCUGAAACCGUGUACGUACAAGCAGUGGGAGCNNNNNNNNNNNNGUGACUGCGUACCUUUUGUAUAAUGGGUCAGCGACUUAUAUUCUGUAGCAAGGUUAACCGAAUAGGGGAGCCGAAGGGAAACCGAGUCUUAACUGGGCGUUAAGUUGCAGGGUAUAGACCCGAAACCCGGUGAUCUAGCCAUGGGCAGGUUGAAGGUUGGGUAACACUAACUGGAGGACCGAACCGACUAAUGUUGAAAAAUUAGCGGAUGACUUGUGGCUGGGGGUGAAAGGCCAAUCAAACCGGGAGAUAGCUGGUUCUCCCCGAAAGCUAUUUAGGUAGCGCCUCGUGAAUUCAUCUCCGGGGGUAGAGCACUGUUUCGGCAAGGGGGUCAUCCCGACUUACCAACCCGAUGCAAACUGCGAAUACCGGAGAAUGUUAUCACGGGAGACACACGGCGGGUGCUAACGUCCGUCGUGAAGAGGGAAACAACCCAGACCGCCAGCUAAGGUCCCAAAGUCAUGGUUAAGUGGGAAACGAUGUGGGAAGGCCCAGACAGCCAGGAUGUUGGCUUAGAAGCAGCCAUCAUUUAAAGAAAGCGUAAUAGCUCACUGGUCGAGUCGGCCUGCGCGGAAGAUGUAACGGGGCUAAACCAUGCACCGAAGCUGCGGCAGCGACACUAUGUGUUGUUGGGUAGGGGAGCGUUCUGUAAGCCUGUGAAGGUGUGCUGUGAGGCAUGCUGGAGGUAUCAGAAGUGCGAAUGCUGACAUAAGUAACGAUAAAGCGGGUGAAAAGCCCGCUCGCCGGAAGACCAAGGGUUCCUGUCCAACGUUAAUCGGGGCAGGGUGAGUCGACCCCUAAGGCGAGGCCGAAAGGCGUAGUCGAUGGGAAACAGGUUAAUAUUCCUGUACUUGGUGUUACUGCGAAGGGGGGACGGAGAAGGCUAUGUUGGCCGGGCGACGGUUGUCCCGGUUUAAGCGUGUAGGCUGGUUUUCCAGGCAAAUCCGGAAAAUCAAGGCUGAGGCGUGAUGACGAGGCACUACGGUGCUGAAGCAACAAAUGCCCUGCUUCCAGGAAAAGCCUCUAAGCAUCAGGUAACAUCAAAUCGUACCCCAAACCGACACAGGUGGUCAGGUAGAGAAUACCAAGGCGCUUGAGAGAACUCGGGUGAAGGAACUAGGCAAAAUGGUGCCGUAACUUCGGGAGAAGGCACGCUGAUAUGUAGGUGAAGCGACUUGCUCGUGGAGCUGAAAUCAGUCGAAGAUACCAGCUGGCUGCAACUGUUUAUUAAAAACACAGCACUGUGCAAACACGAAAGUGGACGUAUACGGUGUGACGCCUGCCCGGUGCCGGAAGGUUAAUUGAUGGGGUNNNNNNNNNNGCGAAGCUCUUGAUCGAAGCCCCGGUAAACGGCGGCCGUAACUAUAACGGUCCUAAGGUAGCGAAAUUCCUUGUCGGGUAAGUUCCGACCUGCACGAAUGGCGUAAUGAUGGCCAGGCUGUCUCCACCCGAGACUCAGUGAAAUUGAACUCGCUGUGAAGAUGCAGUGUACCCGCGGCAAGACGGAAAGACCCCGUGAACCUUUACUAUAGCUUGACACUGAACAUUGAGCCUUGAUGUGUAGGAUAGGUGGGAGGCUUAGAAGUGUGGACGCCAGUCUGCAUGGAGCCGACCUUGAAAUACCACCCUUUAAUGUUUGAUGUUCUAACGUUGACCCGUGAUCCGGGUUGCGGACAGUGUCUGGUGGGUAGUUUGACUGGGGCGGUCUCCUCCUAAAGAGUAACGGAGGAGCACGAAGGUUGGCUAAUCCUGGUCGGACAUCAGGAGGUUAGUGCAAUGGCAUAAGCCAGCUUGACUGCGAGCGUGACGGCGCGAGCAGGUGCGAAAGCAGGUCAUAGUGAUCCGGUGGUUCUGAAUGGAAGGGCCAUCGCUCAACGGAUAAAAGGUACUCCGGGGAUAACAGGCUGAUACCGCCCAAGAGUUCAUAUCGACGGCGGUGUUUGGCACCUCGAUGUCGGCUCAUCACAUCCUGGGGCUGAAGUAGGUCCCAAGGGUAUGGCUGUUCGCCAUUUAAAGUGGUACGCGAGCUGGGUUUAGAACGUCGUGAGACAGUUCGGUCCCUAUCUGCCGUGGGCGCUGGAGAACUGAGGGGGGCUGCUCCUAGUACGAGAGGACCGGAGUGGACGCAUCACUGGUGUUCGGGUUGUCAUGCCAAUGGCACUGCCCGGUAGCUAAAUGCGGAAGAGAUAAGUGCUGAAAGCAUCUAAGCACGAAACUUGCCCCGAGAUGAGUUCUCCCUGACCCUUUAAGGGUCCUGAAGGAACGUUGAAGACGACGACGUUGAUAGGCCGGGUGUGUAAGCGCAGCGAUGCGUUGAGCUAACCGGUACUAAUGAACCGUGAGGCUUAACCUU